Molecule: ribosomal RNA, 324 nt
Filed under: uncultured bacterium
Lineage: Bacteria
Description: bacterial SSU rRNA
Rfam family: Bacterial small subunit ribosomal RNA
Source: RNAcentral
GAUGAACGCUGGCGGCGUGCUUAACACAUGCAAGUCGAACGAAGCGCUUAAACGGAUUUCUUCGGAUUGAAGUUUUUGCGACUGAGUGGCGGACGGGUGAGUAACGCGUGGGUAACCUGCCUCAUACAGGGGGAUAACAGUUAGAAAUGGCUGCUAAUACCGCAUAAGCGCACAGUGCCGCAUGGCAGUGUGUGAAAAACUCCGGUGGUAUGAGAUGGAUCCGCGUCUGAUUAGCCAGUUGGCGGGGUAACGGCCCACCAAAGCGACGAUCAGUAGCCGGCCUGAGAGGGCGACCGGCCACAUUGGGACUGAGACACGGCCCAA